AGAUUGCAGGCUGCAACUCGCCUGCAUGAAGUUGGAAUUGCUAGUAAUCGCGAAUCAGAAUGUCGCGGUGAAUACGUUCCCGGGCCUUGUACACACCGCCCGUCAAGCCAUGGGAGCCGGGGGGUGCCUGAAGUACGUGACCGCGAGGAGCGUCCUAGGGCAAAACUGGUGACUGGGGCUAAGUCGUAACAAGGUAUC
RNAcentral lists this ribosomal RNA (198 nucleotides) under uncultured bacterium. Its description in RNAcentral is "partial 16S ribosomal RNA". It matches the Rfam family "Bacterial small subunit ribosomal RNA", at positions 1295 to 1500 of the family's 1533-position model. The record is from RNAcentral.